This is a long non-coding RNA of Mesoplodon densirostris (Blainville's beaked whale), 997 nucleotides long. RefSeq lists it as uncharacterized. NCBI's taxonomy places the organism in Eukaryota, Metazoa, Chordata, Mammalia, Artiodactyla, Ziphiidae. The transcript is spliced from 6 exons. The record is from RefSeq and is a predicted model, not a curated record.
GGCUGCAGCAGAUCCCGGUCCCCCUGGCGCGCGCCGCGUCGCGCCGCCGCCGCCGCACGGUCGCAGCGACCUUCCCGCCCGGGGCUCCGUGAGCCCCGUUACCCACAUCGGCCACACACCCCACGAGAAAAAGGGAGGAGGAUGCACAACAAAGCCUAACCCGAGGAGGCCCAAGCGAACUGUGGCGAAUAGUCGCUCGGACACACCAGCUACAUCCCUCCUUCCCCAUCCCCGCGCCCUGCGAGAUGAGGAGAGGGAGGAAACUUGGCCCCGGGCCUCGUCUUUUGGUCCCCCCCCCCAACCUUGGUAGGUAAAGACCAUAAGGAGGAUCUUACAAGCUAAGACAUUUAUUACAGAACUUCAAUAUUUCAGUAAUUUUUCAUAACUGGAGACAAUACAAAUAAUCUCCUAAUGAAGUUAUGAGCAAACUUUAGCCUUAGUAAAAUUGGGGUGGCUUUCUGCUGAGGUGACGGCCGGCUCCUGGAGAAGUUCUGCUGAAGGAGACCUACAGUGACAGCCACAGUGAAGCGCAUGUGCCUUAAUCCCUUUUCACAUACUGGCAAAAGGCCAGACCCAGAGCAUUGCUCCAGCUUCUCUGGUGGCGCAGUGGUUAAGAAUCCGCCUGCCAAUGCAGGGGACACAGGUUCGAGCCCUGGUCUGGGAAGAUCUCACAUGCCGUGGAGCAGCUAAGCCCGUGCACCACAACUACUGAGACUGCGCUCUAGAGCCCGUGAGCCACAACUACUGAGCCCACACGCCUAGAGCCCAUGCUCCGUAACAAGAGAAGCCACGGCAAUGAGAAGCCCACGCACCACAGUGAAGAGUAGCCGUCGCUCACCACAACUAGAGAAGGCCCGCACUCAGCAACGAAGACACAAUGCAGCCAAAAACAAAUAAAUAAAUAAAGCUUAUUAAAAAAAAUACUUAAUUGCUCAAAGAUUCUAACCAUCACCGGAGCCUUCGGUGAGUUGUAACCUUUUUGCUGGUGGGGGUCCUG